CCUACGGGAUGCAGCAGUGAGGAAUAUUGGUCAAUGGACGAGAGUCUGAACCAGCCAAGUAGCGUGAAGGAUGACUGCCCUAUGGGUUGUAAACUUCUUUUAUAUGGGAAUAAACUGUUCCACGUGUGGGUUUUUGUAUGUACCAUAUGAAUAAGGAUCGGCUAACUCCGUGCCAGCAGCCGCGGUAAUACGGAGGAUCCGAGCGUUAUCCGGAUUUAUUGGGUUUAAAGGGAACGUAGGUGGAUUGUUAAGUCAGUUGUGAAAGUUUGCGGCUCAACCGUAAAAUUGCAGUUGAUACUGGCAGUCUUGAGUACAGUAGAGGUGGGCGGAAUUCGUGGUGUAGCGGUGAAAUGCUUAGAUAUCACGAAGAACUCCGAUUGCGAAGGCAGCUCACUGGACUGCAACUGACACUGAGGCUCGAAAGUGUGGGUAUCAAACAGGAUUAGAUACCCUUGUAGUC
Molecule: ribosomal RNA, 460 nt
Filed under: uncultured bacterium
Lineage: Bacteria
Description: partial 16S ribosomal RNA
Rfam family: Bacterial small subunit ribosomal RNA
Source: RNAcentral